UACGUAGGUGGCAAGCGUUGUUCGGAAUUAUUGGGCGUAAAGGGCGCGUAGGCGGCAUGUUAAGUCGGCUGUGAAAGCCUGGGGCUCAACCCCAGAGGGUCGGCCGAUACUGGCAAGCUAGAGUACGGAAGAGGUAGCUGGAAUUCCCGGUGUAGUGGUGAAAUGCGUAGAUAUCGGGAGGAACACCAGUGGCGAAGGCGACUUCCUGGCCUGUUCUUGACGCUGAGGCGCGAAAGCUAGGGGAGCAAACGGG
RNAcentral lists this ribosomal RNA (253 nucleotides) under uncultured bacterium. RNAcentral describes it as "partial 16S ribosomal RNA". It matches the Rfam family "Bacterial small subunit ribosomal RNA", at positions 524 to 776 of the family's 1533-position model. The record is from RNAcentral.